GCUGGGUACAGUGGAGCAUGCCUGUAAUCCCAGGAGCUUGGAAGGCUGAGACAGGAGGAUUGCAAGUUCAAAGCCAGCCUCAGCAAUUUAGUGAGACCCUGUCUCAA
This 107-nucleotide small RNA is filed under the name Marmota monax (woodchuck). The record is from RNAcentral. Lineage: Eukaryota; Metazoa; Chordata; Mammalia; Rodentia; Sciuridae.